CCAUUACUGUCACCAAGUAUUCCCAUUGUAUCUCCACCAUAUAAUACUGUGCCUCCACCAGUUGCUGAAGGACAUGAAGCACCCAUGCCACCAAAUGCUUCUCAAGGAAACAAACCAAUUAAUACUCCUGUUUCUGUGCCAGUCACAGCACCUUCAAAGAAUUUGCCUGAUGAUUCACCAAUCAUCCAUCCAAGUUCACCUGCUACUUCCCCGAUCAUCCACCCUAGCGC
RNAcentral lists this unclassified non-coding RNA (230 nucleotides) under Hevea brasiliensis (rubber tree). The record is from RNAcentral. Lineage: Eukaryota; Viridiplantae; Streptophyta; Magnoliopsida; Malpighiales; Euphorbiaceae.